Molecule: long non-coding RNA, 322 nt
Organism: Armigeres subalbatus
Lineage: Eukaryota; Metazoa; Arthropoda; Insecta; Diptera; Culicidae
Exons: 3
Source: RefSeq, a predicted model, not a curated record
CGCAAAUCAACAAUAGUCGCCAAGAUAGUCGCCAUGUUUUGUUCUCCUGCUGAAUCAGUCAGCGUUAUUUCCCUUCGUGAGUUGAUUUCAAUCUACAUUACUUUUAGGCGCCAUGCAUGAAUUUACGCCAGUAUUAAUUCGUCUUGCUCGUCAUCAUCAACUUAUUUGCUUGCGCUCGCGCAGCAUCCGGAUUUUGACGCGACGGACGCUGGCUGUGACGAUAUGCUGGUUCCGACAAAACAACAGUCCCGUUAGAAGACCGUACGCUACGAAAUGCCCCGCUAUGAAGGCCAAAGAAUGAACACAUUUCGGUAGAAGAGCC